Molecule: ribosomal RNA, 467 nt
Filed under: uncultured bacterium
Lineage: Bacteria
Description: partial 16S ribosomal RNA
Rfam family: Bacterial small subunit ribosomal RNA
Source: RNAcentral
GACGAACGCUGGCGGCGUGCUUAACACAUGCAAGUCGAACGGAAAGGCCCUGCUUUUGUGGGGUGCUCGAGUGGCGAACGGGUGAGUAACACGUGAGUAACCUGCCCUUGACUUUGGGAUAACUUCAGGAAACUGGGGCUAAUACCGGAUAGGAGCUCCUGCUGCAUGGUGGGGGUUGGAAAGUUUCGGCGGUUGGGGAUGGACUCGCGGCUUAUAAGCUUGUUGGUGGGGUAGUGGCUUACCAAGGAUUUGACGGGUAGGCGGCCUGAGAGGGUGGCCGGCCACAUGGGGUCUGAGAGACGGCCCAGACUCAUACGGGAGGCAGCAGGGGGUAAUAUUGCACAAGGGGCGGAAGCCUGAUGCAGCAACGCCGGGUGCGGGAUGACGGCCUGCGGGUUGUAAACCGCCUUCUCCUGUGACGAAGCGUGAGGGACGUUAAUGGGGAAAGAAGCACCGGCUAACUACGG